AGUGAACGCUGGCGGUAGGCCUAACACAUGCAAGUCGAACGGCAGCACAGUAAGAGCUUGCUCUUACGGGUGGCGAGUGGCGGACGGGUGAGGAAUACAUCGGAAUCUACUUUUUCGUGGGGGAUAACGUAGGGAAACUUACGCUAAUACCGCAUACGACCUACGGGUGAAAGCAGGGGAUCUUCGGACCUUGCGCGAUUGAAUGAGCCGAUGUCGGAUUAGCUAGUUGGCGGGGUAAAGGCCCACCAAGGCGACGAUCCGUAGCUGGUCUGAGGGGAUGAUCAGCCACACUGGAACUGAGACACGGUCCAGACUCCUACGGGAGGCAGCAGUGGGGAAUAUUGGACAAAGGGCGCAAGCCUGAUCCAGCCAUACCGCGUGGGUGAAGAGGGCCUUCGGGUUGUAAAGCCCUUUUGUUGGGAAAGAAAAGCAGCAGGUUAAUACCCCGCUGUUCUGACGGUACCCAAAGAAUAAGCACCGGCUAACUUCGUG
RNAcentral lists this ribosomal RNA (492 nucleotides) under uncultured bacterium. Its description in RNAcentral is "partial 16S ribosomal RNA". It matches the Rfam family "Bacterial small subunit ribosomal RNA", at positions 29 to 507 of the family's 1533-position model. The record is from RNAcentral.